This 397-nucleotide ribosomal RNA is filed under the name uncultured bacterium. Its description in RNAcentral is "partial 16S ribosomal RNA". It matches the Rfam family "Bacterial small subunit ribosomal RNA", at positions 523 to 918 of the family's 1533-position model. The record is from RNAcentral.
AUACGUAGGUGACAAGCGUUAUCCGGAUUUACUGGGCGUAAAGGGCGUGUAGGCGGUCUUGCAAGUCAGAAGUGAAAUUCCUGAGCUCAACUCGGGCGCUGCUUCUGAAACUGCAGGACUUGAGUGCUGGAGGGGAUAGCGGAAUUCCUAGUGGAGCGGUAAGAUGCGCAGAUAUUAGGAAGAACACCGGUGGCGAAGGCGGCUAUCUGGACAGUAACUGACGCUGAGGCGCGAAAGCGUGGGGAGCAAACAGGAUUAGAUACCCUAGUAGUCCACGCCGUAAACGAUGAAUACUAGGUGUAGGGGGUAUCGACUCCCUCUGUGCCGCAGUUAACACAAUAAGUAUUCCGCCUGGGGAGUACGGCCGCAAGGUUGAAACUCAAAGGAAUUGACGGGG